UGGGGAAUAUUGGACAAUGGGCGAAAGCCUGAUCCAGCCAUGCCGCGUGUGUGAAGAAUGUCUUCGGAUUGUAAAGCACUUUAAGUUGGGAGGAAGGGCAUUAACCUAAUACGUUAGUGUUUUGACGUUACCGACAGAAUAAGCACCGGCUAACUCUGUGCCAGCAGCCGCGGUAAUACAGAGGGUGCAAGCGUUAAUCAGAAUUACUGGGCGUAAAGCGCGCGUAGGUGGUUUGUUAAGUUGGAUGUGAAAUCCCCGGGCUCAACCUGGGAACUGCAUUCAAAACUGACUGACUAGAGUAUGGUAGAGGGUGGUGGAAUUUCCUGUGUAGCGGUGAAAUGCGUAGAUAUAGGAAGGAACACCAGUGGCGAAGGCGACCACCUAGACGAAUACUGACACUGAGGUGCGAAAGCGUGGGGAGCAAACA
RNAcentral lists this ribosomal RNA (427 nucleotides) under uncultured bacterium. RNAcentral's name for it is "partial 16S ribosomal RNA". It matches the Rfam family "Bacterial small subunit ribosomal RNA", at positions 355 to 774 of the family's 1533-position model. The record is from RNAcentral.